UGGGGAAUAUUGGACAAUGGGCGAAAGCCUGAUCCAGCCAUGCCGCGUGUGUGAAGAAGGUCUUCGGAUUGUAAAGCACUUUAAGUUGGGAGGAAGGGCAUUAACCUAAUACGUUAGUGUUUUGACGUUACCGACAGAAUAAGCACCGGCUAACUCUGUGCCAGCAGCCGCGGUAAUACAGAGGGUGCAAGCGUUAAUCGGAAUUACUGGGCGUAAAGCGCGCGUAGGUGGUUUGUUAAGUUGGAUGUGAAAUCCCCGGGCUCAACCUGGGAACUGCAUUCAAAACUGACUGACUAGAGUAUGGUAGAGGGUGGUGGAAUUUCCUGUGUAGCGGUGAAAUGCGUAGAUAUAGGAAGGAACACCAGUGGCGAAGGCGACCACCUGGACUAAUACUGACACUGAGGUGCGA
This 409-nucleotide ribosomal RNA is filed under the name uncultured bacterium. Its description in RNAcentral is "partial 16S ribosomal RNA". It matches the Rfam family "Bacterial small subunit ribosomal RNA", at positions 355 to 756 of the family's 1533-position model. The record is from RNAcentral.